This 250-nucleotide ribosomal RNA is filed under the name uncultured bacterium. Its description in RNAcentral is "partial 16S ribosomal RNA". It matches the Rfam family "Bacterial small subunit ribosomal RNA", at positions 57 to 305 of the family's 1533-position model. The record is from RNAcentral.
GCAAGUCGAACGGUAACAGGUGGAGCUUGCUCCAUGCUGACGAGUGGCGGACGGGUGAGUAAUACGUAGGAAUCUGCCCGGUAGAGGGGAAUAACCUGGGGAAACCCAGGCUAAUACCGCAUACGCCCUACGGGGGAAAGCGGGGGAACUUCGGACCUCGCGCUAUCGGAUGAGCCUACGCCCGAUUAGCUAGUUGGUAAGGUAAAAGCUUACCAAGGCGACGAUCGGUAGCUGGUCUUAGCGGAUGAUC